ACACCAUCCCCGGUAGGACUCACCUCGCUCCUGAGCAUCUCCAUGCUGUGGAGGAUACCCGCCCCCUUAGUAGCUGUCUUGGUGAUCAGAUUGACCGUCGAGGCACUGCAGUGCUUGUCCUCAGAACAAGAACCCAGAGCCCACCAAAGGACUGGCGUGAAAGGAGCUGUAGCACUGUAUCCGUCCCACCCUCCACUGGCACCGGAUGGCUGCCCCACAUGACAGGAAGUGUUGGUGUGACCAGACCAGCAGCCCAGGAGCCAUGGGCUAGAGUGGGGCAUUGGGACCGAAUGAGCGGUAACAUGAACAAGCUGAAACACAUUCCUGCCCAGCCUGCCAAGCUGUGGGCAGUGACACGCUCUUAUUUGCCAGACUACAAGAGAAGAUCUGUGACCCUUCUGGGGGCCCAUACCUUGGGGCUCCCCAAGCCAGAGCUGUGACAUGCUGUAACACCCUCUUGCAGCUCCACGGUUGCUGGUGUCUUUGAGUUUUCAGGCACCACGGCGUUCCCCUUGUUGGGAUGCCAGUGCCCAAGGUGGAAGCCACUUGAGGCAUACCUGGUCCAGCCACAGCCUCACAUGGUUCUGACACCUGGAGCUGCCUGCCCUUCUGCAGCAGCUGGUGCACCUGGCUCUGUGGUGUGGCUGGACCCUG
Molecule: long non-coding RNA, 654 nt
Filed under: Homo sapiens (human)
Lineage: Eukaryota; Metazoa; Chordata; Mammalia; Primates; Hominidae
Description: non-protein coding lnc-WDR91-4:5
Source: RNAcentral